This 253-nucleotide ribosomal RNA is filed under the name uncultured bacterium. RNAcentral's name for it is "partial 16S ribosomal RNA". It matches the Rfam family "Bacterial small subunit ribosomal RNA", at positions 524 to 776 of the family's 1533-position model. The record is from RNAcentral.
UACGAAGGGGGCUAGCGUUGCUCGGAAUUACUGGGCGUAAAGCGCACGUAGGCGGCUUUCUAAGUCGGGGGUGAAAUCCUGGAGCUCAACUCCAGAACUGCCUUUGAUACUGGAGAGCUUGAGUCCGGGAGAGGUGAGUGGAACUGCGAGUGUAGAGGUGAAAUUCGUAGAUAUUCGCAAGAACACCAGUGGCGAAGGCGGCUCACUGGCCCGGUACUGACGCUGAGGUGCGAAAGCGUGGGGAGCAAACAGG